Molecule: ribosomal RNA, 619 nt
Filed under: uncultured archaeon
Lineage: Archaea
Description: bacterial SSU rRNA
Rfam family: Archaeal small subunit ribosomal RNA
Source: RNAcentral
GGGGAGUACGUCCGCAAGGAUGAAACUUAAAGGAAUUGGCGGGGGAGCACCGCAACGGGAGGAACGUGCGGUUUAAUUGGAUUCAACACCGGAAAACUCACCAGCAGCGACUAUUACAUGAAAGUCAGGCCGAUGACCUUACUAGAUUUUUAGAGAGGUGGUGCAUGGCCGUCGUCAGUUCGUACCGUAAGGCGUUCUCUUAAGUGAGAUAACGAACGAGACCCUCACCAAUAAUUGCUACUGCGUCGUCCGCGGCGUAGGCACAUUAUUGGGACCGCUGGCGCUAAGUCAGAGGAAGGAGAGGUCAACGGUAGGUCAGUAUGCCCCGAAUCUGCUGGGCUACACGCGCGUUACAAAGGGCGGGACAAUGGGCUCCGACGCCGAAAGGUGAAGGCAAUCUCGAAACCCGUCCGUAGUUCGGAUUGAGGGUUGUAACUCACCCUCAUGAAGCUGGAUUCCGUAGUAAUCGCGAAUCAACAACUCGCGGUGAAUAUGCCCCUGCUCCUUGCACACACCGCCCGUCAAACCAUCCGAGUUGGGUUUCAGUGAGGUUAUCUCUAACUGGGGUAUUCGAACUGAGAUUUAGCAAGGGGGGUUAAGUCGUAACAAGGUAGCCGUA